CUCUUAUAUCUCAAAGACACAGAUGUAAAGCCAAAAACUUUACUACUCCAAGCUAACUACAUAAUGAAAUCCAUGGCUAAUUCGAGUUCUUCUUCCUCUUCUAUACCCUCCCUCUCACCCCACCACCCACCCCAUUCCACCCAGUUCAGAUGUUGAGAAAACCUGCCCAUUUAGAGAUCUGAUUUCUCUUUUCCUUGGGCACACACUCAACAUCACAUAGGGGAAAUGAUCUCAAUUUGGAAGCUGAGUCUCACGCACAAAACUCACACUCACACACGGGCACGGCUCCAAAGACCACACUCCACUCCUCGUCACCUCCGGAACGCACGCAGUCGGUCGACUUCUGAGGUAACUGAAUCUCUUUUCCUUGUUUCAUUUUGGUUUUUAAUUUCUGUUCUAGACUUCUAAGAUUAUUGAAAAUUUGAUGCACUUCUACUUGAUUUAGGGUUUUAGUUCAUGUCCUAGGAUUAUUAAAAAAAAAAAAUGUUGUUUUUGUGAGCUAGGCAGUUUAAAAAAUGAAGGUAAAGCUUUCUGUUGUAGUAAUGAAUUUGUGAAGUUAAAAAAUGGUGAGAUUCCUCAAGAAUUGUCUCGUCUAUUUUUUUUUCUUGACACAUUAAUUUAUUUUUUGCAGGUUUGAGUGUGCAAUUGGUUUGAGUCAGAAUUUGUCAUCUUCGGAGGAUAGUCCUUGAAAGGAAUAGUUUGCUGUUUGCUUGAAUUUUGAGAUUAUUCCUUUAAGAUUUAAAACACGUGCUUUCAGUUUCUUUGGCAUCUUGUUUAGCUUUUUGAGUUUGCCAUUUUACAUUUAAUUUCUGUUUGGGACUUUUGUAUGUGUCAAUUUCUAACAAAACUGUUCUAUAUCAAUAAGUAGAUGUAGAACCUGCAACUACGGUAAUUUCUAUAGUUCAUUGUUCAUUAUGAUUAAUGCUCUGAAAGUCAGUUUUCUCUACCCUUUUGUCAUUAUUAAGAAGCAAGCUGUUGACAUUUGCAAUUUUACUGCGUUUUACAAGGAUGGGAGCAUGAAGUAUGGAAUGUUUGCUUCAUGUGCUAUACUACUUUGAGCAUUGGUAGAG
This 1070-nucleotide long non-coding RNA is filed under the name Olea europaea subsp. europaea. The record is from RNAcentral. Lineage: Eukaryota; Viridiplantae; Streptophyta; Magnoliopsida; Lamiales; Oleaceae.